UACGGAGGGGGCUAGCGUUGUUCGGAAUUACUGGGCGUAAGGCGCACGUAGGCGGCUUUGUAAGUUAGAGGUGAAAGCCCGGGGCUCAACUCCGGAAUUGCCUUUAAGACUGCAUCGCUAGAAUUGUGGAGAGGUAAGUGGAAUUCCGAGUGUAGAGGUGAAAUUCGUAGAUAUUCGGAAGAAACACCAGUGGCGAAGGCGGACUUACUGGACACAUAUUGACGCUGAGGUGCGAAAGCGUGGGGAGCAAACAG
RNAcentral lists this ribosomal RNA (254 nucleotides) under uncultured bacterium. RNAcentral describes it as "partial 16S ribosomal RNA". It matches the Rfam family "Bacterial small subunit ribosomal RNA", at positions 524 to 775 of the family's 1533-position model. The record is from RNAcentral.